UGCCAGCCGCCGCGGUAAUACGGAGGGUGCGAGCGUUAAUCGGAAUAACUGGGCGUAAAGGGCACGCAGGCGGACUUUUAAGUGAGAUGUGAAAUCCCCGAGCUUAACUUGGGAAUUGCAUUUCAGACUGGGAGUCUAGAGUACUUUAGGGAGGGGUAGAAUUCCACGUGUAGCGGUGAAAUGCGUAGAGAUGUGGAGGAAUACCGAAGGCGAAGGCAGCCCCUUGGGAAUGUACUGACGCUCAUGUGCGAAAGCGUGGGGAGCAAACAGGAUUAGAUA
RNAcentral lists this ribosomal RNA (279 nucleotides) under uncultured bacterium. Its description in RNAcentral is "partial 16S ribosomal RNA". It matches the Rfam family "Bacterial small subunit ribosomal RNA", at positions 506 to 784 of the family's 1533-position model. The record is from RNAcentral.